GUCUUUUUGAGUAUAAUUUAAAGUCUAAUCUGCCCAAUGAGUAUUUAAAUGGCUGCGGUAUUUUGACCGUACAAAGGUAGCAUAAUCAUUAGUUUUUUAAUUGAAAGCUAGAAUGAAGGAUUGAACGAGAAAAUUACUGUCUCAAUUUAAUUUAUUUAGAAUUUUAUUUUUAAGUUAAAAAGCUUAAAUAUUUUUUAAAGACGAGAAGACCCUAUAGAGUUUUAUAUUUUUAUAAAUUUUAAUUUUAUUAAUUUUAUUAAUUUUUAAAAAUAUUUUAUUGGGGUGAUAAUUAAAUUUAAGUAACUUUAAUUUUUAAAAACAUAAAUUUAUGAAUCAAUGAUCCAUUAAUAAUGAUUAAAAGAUUAAAUUACCUUAGGGAUAACAGCGUAAUUUUUUUUGAGAGUUCUUAUCGAAAAAAAAGAUUGCGACCUCGAUGUUGGAUUAAAAUUAAAUUUUGGUGUAGAAGCUAAAACUUUAAGUCUGUUCGACUUUUAAAAUUUUACAUGAUCUGAGUUUAAACCGGUGUGAGCCAGGUUGGUUUCUAUCUUAAAAUAAUUUAAAUAUUUUAGUACGAAAGGACCAAAUAUUUAUAAUAAUUAUUAAUUUUUGAAUAU
This 614-nucleotide ribosomal RNA is filed under the name Ochthebius aguilerai. RNAcentral's name for it is "partial 16S ribosomal RNA". It matches the Rfam family "Bacterial large subunit ribosomal RNA", at positions 1825 to 2726 of the family's 2925-position model. The record is from RNAcentral. Lineage: Eukaryota; Metazoa; Arthropoda; Insecta; Coleoptera; Hydraenidae.